UGGUAGCUCAGUCGGUAGAGCAGAGGAUUGAAAAUCCUCGUGUCGGCGGUUCGAUUCCGUCCCA
This 64-nucleotide transfer RNA is filed under the name Thiopseudomonas alkaliphila. It matches the Rfam family "tRNA", at positions 5 to 66 of the family's 71-position model. From Rfam's summary of the family: Transfer RNA (tRNA) molecules are approximately 80 nucleotides in length. Their secondary structure includes four short double-helical elements and three loops (D, anti-codon, and T loops). Lineage: Bacteria; Pseudomonadati; Pseudomonadota; Gammaproteobacteria; Pseudomonadales; Pseudomonadaceae. The record is from RNAcentral.